This 387-nucleotide transfer-messenger RNA is filed under the name Mycoplasmopsis arginini. Its description in RNAcentral is "Mycoplasma arginini transfer-messenger RNA, SsrA". It matches the Rfam family "transfer-messenger RNA". From Rfam's summary of the family: Bacterial tmRNA, also known as 10Sa RNA or SsrA, is named for its dual tRNA and mRNA-like properties. Its role is to liberate the mRNA from a stalled ribosome. To accomplish this part of the tmRNA is used as a reading frame that ends in a translation stop signal. Lineage: Bacteria; Bacillati; Mycoplasmatota; Mycoplasmoidales; Metamycoplasmataceae. The record is from RNAcentral. RNAcentral also lists the same sequence under 1 other name.
GGGGGUGUAAUGGCUUCGACAUGCAUUUAAUUGUUAUUGUUGCAGUGGUCUUGUAAACCUAAAUACUUUCUAGGCUUUUUAAUGCAAACUUUAGAAAACAAAAAAGAAAAAGAAUUUUUCAUGACAAAUGUUAUGAACAAUCAAUUAAAUCCAGUUUUUGCUUAAUUAAAUCUGGUCAAAUUCUUAUUAAUGGCCCAUUUUUAGAAUUUUGUCGUUAAGGGCUAGACUUGGCGAAAAUCAGUAAAUAGCUAAGUGACAUUAUCAUCUGGAAUUAUUUAACUUUUUUGUUUAUUUUAAUUUAAAUAAUUUAUUUAAAAAUAAACUAAACUGUAGAACCAAUACCAAAAGAAUGUGUGGACCGGGGUUCGAUUCCCCGCACCUCCACCA